This 497-nucleotide ribosomal RNA is filed under the name uncultured bacterium. RNAcentral's name for it is "partial 16S ribosomal RNA". It matches the Rfam family "Bacterial small subunit ribosomal RNA", at positions 28 to 507 of the family's 1533-position model. The record is from RNAcentral.
GAUGAACGCUGGCGGCGUGCCUAAUACAUGCAAGUCGAGCGAACAGACGAGGAGCUUGCUCCUCUGACGUUAGCGGCGGACGGGCGAGUAACACGUGGAUAACCUACCUAUAAGACUGGGAUAACUUCGGGAAACCGGAGCUAAUACCGGAUAAUAUAUUGAACCGCAUGGUUCAAUAGUGAAAGACGGUUUUGCUGUCACUUAUAGAUGGAUCCGCGCCGCAUUAGCUAGUUGGUAAGGUAACGGCUUACCAAGGCAACGAUGCGUAGCCGACCUGAGAGGGUGAUCGGCCACACUGGAACUGAGACACGGUCCAGACUCCUACGGGAGGCAGCAGUAGGGAAUCUUCCGCAAUGGGCGAAAGCUUGACGGAGCAACGCCGCGUGAGUGAUGAAGGUCUUCGGAUCGUAAAACUCUGUUAUUAGGGAAGAACAAAUGUGUAAGUAACUAUGCACGUCUUGACGAUACCUAAUCAGAAAGCCACGGCUAACUACGUG